Molecule: ribosomal RNA, 429 nt
Filed under: Pseudomonadota bacterium
Lineage: Bacteria; Pseudomonadati; Pseudomonadota
Description: Proteobacteria bacterium partial 16S ribosomal RNA
Rfam family: Bacterial small subunit ribosomal RNA
Source: RNAcentral
UGGGGAAUAUUGGACAAUGGGCGAAAGCCUGAUCCAGCCAUGCCGCGUGUGUGAAGAAGGUCUUCGGAUUGUAAAGCACUUUAAGUUGGGAGGAAGGGCAGUAAGCGAAUACCUUGCUGUUUUGACGUUACCGACAGAAUAAGCACCUGCUAACUCUGUGCCAGCAGCCGCGGUAAUACAGAGGGUGCAAGCGUUAAUCGGAAUUACUGGGCGUAAAGCGCGCGUAGGCGGUUCGUUAAGUUGAAUGUGAAAGCCCCGGGCUCAACCUCGUAACUGCAUCCAAAACUGGCGAGCUAGAGUAGGGCAGAGGUUGGUGGAAUUGCCUGUGUAGCGGUGAAAUGCGUAGAUAUAGGAAGGAACACCAGUGGCGAAGGCGACCACCUGGGCUCAUACUGACACUGAGGUGCGAAAGCGUGGGGAGCAAACAGG